This is a long non-coding RNA of Lontra canadensis (Northern American river otter), 214 nucleotides long. RefSeq lists it as uncharacterized. NCBI's taxonomy places the organism in Eukaryota, Metazoa, Chordata, Mammalia, Carnivora, Mustelidae. The transcript is spliced from 3 exons. The record is from RefSeq and is a predicted model, not a curated record.
UCUCCUUCAACCAGCUGAUGAAAGGUCUAGGACAGAAACCUCUUUACACCUACCUCAUUGCAGGCGGUGAUAGGUCUGUGGUGGCAUCUAGGAAGGGGACAGAAGAUAGUGCCCUGCAUGGGAUUGAAGAACUGAAGAAGGUGGCCGCUGGGAAGAAGAGGGUGAUUGUCAUUGGCAUUUCGGUGGGACUCUCUGUGAGUGUGAAGACAGCCUG